CAAUAGCGUAUAUUUAAGUUGUUGCGGUUAAAAAGCUCGUAGUUGGAUUUCUGUCAAGGACAACUGGUCCGCCCUCCGGGUGAGCACAUAGUUUGGUCUUGACAUCUUGCUGGAAGCUGUUGCUGCACUUGGCUGUGUGGCGCAGUGUUCAGCACUUUCACUUUGAGGAAAUUGGAGUGUUUCAAGCAGGCACAUGCCUUUGGACACAGUAGCAUGGAAUAAUUAGAUUGGGCUUUUGCUCCAAUUUGUCGGUUUCUGGAGCUGAGGUGAGUAUUAAUGGGGAUUGUUGGGGGCAUCCGAAUUUAGCCGUCAGAGGUGAAAUUCUUGGAUCUGCUAAAGACGGACAACUGCGAAAGCGUUUGCCCAGGAUGUUUUCAUUG
RNAcentral lists this ribosomal RNA (380 nucleotides) under uncultured eukaryote. RNAcentral describes it as "partial 18S ribosomal RNA". It matches the Rfam family "Eukaryotic small subunit ribosomal RNA", at positions 592 to 975 of the family's 1831-position model. The record is from RNAcentral.